Molecule: transfer RNA, 77 nt
Filed under: Tissierellia bacterium
Lineage: Bacteria; Bacillati; Bacillota; Tissierellia
Description: tRNA-Arg
Rfam family: tRNA
About the family: Transfer RNA (tRNA) molecules are approximately 80 nucleotides in length. Their secondary structure includes four short double-helical elements and three loops (D, anti-codon, and T loops). Further hydrogen bonds mediate the characteristic L-shaped molecular structure. tRNAs have two regions of fundamental functional importance: the anti-codon, which is responsible for specific mRNA codon recognition, and the 3' end, to which the tRNAs corresponding amino acid is attached (by aminoacyl-tRNA synthetases). tRNAs cope with the degeneracy of the genetic code in two manners: having more than one tRNA (with a specific anti-codon) for a particular amino acid; and 'wobble' base-pairing, i.e. permitting non-standard base-pairing at the 3rd anti-codon position.
Source: RNAcentral
GUACCUAUAGCUCAACUGGAUAGAGUGCCUGACUACGAAUCAGGAGGUUCGGGGUUCGAGUCCCUGUAGGUACACCA